AAUCAACGCUGGCGGCGUGCCUCAGACAUGCAAGUCGAACGCGAAAGUCUCCUUCGGGAGACGAGUAGAGUGGCGCACGGGUGAGUAACACGUAGGUUAUCUACCUCCGAGUGGGGAAGUAACAGCCGGAAACGGCUGCUAAUACCGCAUAAUACCGAAAGGUCAAAGCUUUAUGUGCUUGGAGAGGAGCCUGCGGCAGAUUAGCUAGUUGGUAAGGUAAUGGCUUACCAAGGCGACGAUCUGUAUCCGGUCUAAGAGGACGGUCGGACACACUGACACUGAAUAACGGGUCAGACUCCUACGGGAGGCAGCAGUCGGGAAUUUUGGGCAAUGGGCGAAGACCUGACCCAGCAACGCCGCGUGAAGGAUGAAGUCCUU
RNAcentral lists this ribosomal RNA (378 nucleotides) under uncultured bacterium. Its description in RNAcentral is "bacterial SSU rRNA". It matches the Rfam family "Bacterial small subunit ribosomal RNA", at positions 32 to 418 of the family's 1533-position model. The record is from RNAcentral.